This 600-nucleotide ribosomal RNA is filed under the name Triticum aestivum (bread wheat). RNAcentral's name for it is "partial small subunit ribosomal RNA". The record is from RNAcentral. Lineage: Eukaryota; Viridiplantae; Streptophyta; Magnoliopsida; Poales; Poaceae.
AUGAAGCAAAUUGCUAAAGGUCUGGAGGUAGAUGUUUCAAGUCAGAGGAAAGGAAAUUGUGGAAGAAAGCCGAAAGACAUCAAUCUAGAGCAAAUCCCUACCAUCCCACUGAACAGGAGGUCUACUAUCAGGUCACUGGCUUGGCAACUCGGAUGCAGCCCUACCACACUACAUAGGAAGUUCAUGCUUAAGUUGAUAAAAAGGCAUACAAGCUGUGUGAAGCCAGUUCUCAAGGAAAAUAACAAGAGGGAUAGGAUCAAAUUUUGUUUGUCAAUGCUCGAUGAGACAACAACAGAAACCGAAAGACCGAAAUUCAAAACAAUGCACAACAUUGUGCAUAUCGACGAAAAAUGGUUCUAUAUGACAAAGAAAAACAGAAACUAUUAUCUGCUAAAUGGGGAAGAAGAGCCUACGAGAAGUAUACAAAGUGGCAGUUGUAUUGGAAAGAUCAUGUUCUUGACGGCCGUUGCUAGGCCAAGGUGGGACAGUGAAGGAAAUGUGAUCUUCUCUGGGAAAAUUGGUAUUUGGCCGUUUGUGAAGUUCCCGCUCAGAGGAGAAGCGACAACAGGCCCAGAGGAACAAUGGAGACCAAGUCCAUAA